This 471-nucleotide ribosomal RNA is filed under the name Triticum aestivum (bread wheat). Its description in RNAcentral is "partial small subunit ribosomal RNA". The record is from RNAcentral. Lineage: Eukaryota; Viridiplantae; Streptophyta; Magnoliopsida; Poales; Poaceae.
AUGGACACAGAGGAGUCUAGGACAUGGCAGACAAGGAGAAGUAGGGCCAGGGGCGUGUCGGGCCGAGGAGCUCCUGGCCGUAGUGGCGCGGCACCGGAGCAGGGACCAGUGACGAGGCAAGGCAACGAGGAGGAGCCUGCGAGGGACCCUGGCGAGGAGGUAGUGGAGGACGGUGCUGGCGAUGCUGGCCUUGGCAAGGAGCUCAGGGGCGGCGCUCGUCCGGGCGGUGGCGGUGGCGGCGGGGCCAACUUCGAGGAGGAGAGCGCGAUGCAGAGGGAGAAAGGAGGCGGGACUCGGCACGCCGGUGGGACGGCAGCGGCUGCAUGGAGCGGGCGGCGGCCAUGGCACUCGGGAAGGCGCGGGGAGGAGAGGGGGAGGAGGUUGCUGAGGGUGGCCAGUGCUCGAGGAGCUCCUCUCCUCGGGCGCUCGACGACAUGGGGUUCUCGCUCCUCUUUCUCCCUCUCUGGGUGA